CUGCUAAUUGGUGACACCGAGUU
RNAcentral lists this non-coding RNA (23 nucleotides) under Rattus norvegicus (Norway rat). The record is from RNAcentral. Lineage: Eukaryota; Metazoa; Chordata; Mammalia; Rodentia; Muridae.